GACGAACGCUGGCGGCGUGCUUAACACAUGCAAGUCGAACGGUAAGGCCCUUCGGGGUACACGAGUGGCGAACGGGUGAGUAACACGUGGGUGAUCUGCCCUGCACUCCGGGGUAAGCCUGGGAAACUGGGUCCAAUACCGGAUAGGACUCCUGGCUUCAUGGUUGGGGGUGUCAAGCUUUUGCGGUGUGGGCUGGGCCCGCGGCCUAUCCGCUUGUCGGUGGGGUAAUGGCCUACCAAGGCGACGACGGGUAGCCGGCCUGAGAGGGUGACCCGUCACACUGGGACUGAGAUACGGCCCAGGCGCCUACGGGAGGCAGGAGUGGGGACUAUUGCACAGGGGGCGCAAGCCUGCUGCAGCGACGCCGCGUGAGGGAUGACGGCCUUCGGGUUGUAAACCUCUUUCAGCUAGGACGAAGCGCAAGUGACGGUAGUAGCAGAAGAAGGACCGGCCAACUACGUGCCAGCAGCCGCCGUAA
RNAcentral lists this ribosomal RNA (478 nucleotides) under uncultured bacterium. Its description in RNAcentral is "partial 16S ribosomal RNA". It matches the Rfam family "Bacterial small subunit ribosomal RNA", at positions 28 to 523 of the family's 1533-position model. The record is from RNAcentral.